AGCGAACGCUGGCGGCAGGCCUAACACAUGCAAGUCGAACGGCUCUUCGGAGCAGUGGCGGACGGGUGAGUAACACGUGGGAACGUGCCCUUUGGUACGGAACAACUGAGGGAAACUUCAGCUAAUACCGUAUGUGCCCCCAUUCUUAGCGGGAUGGGUGGGAAAGACUUAUCGCCAUUGGAGCGGCCCGCGUUGGAUUAGCUAGUUGGUGGGGUAAAGGCCCACCAAGGCUACGAUCCAUAGCUGGUCUGAGAGGAUGAUCAGCCACACUGGGACUGAGACACGGCCCAGACUCCUACGGGAGGCAGCAGUAGGGAAUCUUGCGCAAUGGGCGAAAGCCUGACGCAGCCAUGCCGCGUGAAUGAUGAAGGUCUUAGGAUUGUAAAAUUCUUUCACCGGGGAAGAUAAUGACGGUACCCGGAGAAGAAGCCCCGGCUAACUUCGUGCCAGCCGCCGCAGUAA
This 462-nucleotide ribosomal RNA is filed under the name uncultured bacterium. Its description in RNAcentral is "partial 16S ribosomal RNA". It matches the Rfam family "Bacterial small subunit ribosomal RNA", at positions 29 to 523 of the family's 1533-position model. The record is from RNAcentral.